Molecule: long non-coding RNA, 319 nt
Organism: Dendrobium catenatum
Lineage: Eukaryota; Viridiplantae; Streptophyta; Magnoliopsida; Asparagales; Orchidaceae
Exons: 2
Source: RefSeq, a predicted model, not a curated record
GAGGAAGGGGACGCCGUAAGGACCGCAUACGAGGGGGAAUCGAUCGGCGGUAUGGCCGUUGCCGAGGAAGGCAGCAUCGCCGGCUAGGAUCAUAUCGUGAAUCAGCCCGUGGUUGGAGAAUCCUCGUUUCAGCGUACCGGCAGCCUGAUGACGGUGAAAAUCAAGCAUACAAGGGAAAUAAAGAAGAGCCAUAGGCAACAAGGGAAAAAUAGCUACUAAGAUUUGCAGUAAUGUAUUACAUUGUAAUUGAUGUUAAUCUCCUCAAACAUUCGUAUAGCUAUUACAUUGUAUAUAUACUAGAGAAUGAGAAGGUUUGUUA